UACGGGAGUGGCAAGCGUUAUCCGGAAUUAUUGGGCGUAAAGCGUCCGCAGGUGGCCCUGUAAGUCUGUCGUUAAAGCGUGGAGCUUAACUCCAUUUGAGCGAUGGAAACUACAGGGCUAGAGUGUGGUAGGGGCAGAGGGAAUUCCCGGUGUAGCGGUGAAAUGCGUAGAUAUCGGGAAGAACACCAGUGGCGAAGGCGCUCUGCUGGGCCAUCACUGACACUCAUGGACGAAAGCCAGGGGAGCGAAAGGG
This 253-nucleotide ribosomal RNA is filed under the name uncultured bacterium. RNAcentral describes it as "partial 16S ribosomal RNA". It matches the Rfam family "Bacterial small subunit ribosomal RNA", at positions 524 to 776 of the family's 1533-position model. The record is from RNAcentral.